Balaenoptera musculus (blue whale) is the source of this 134-nucleotide small nuclear RNA. Lineage: Eukaryota; Metazoa; Chordata; Mammalia; Artiodactyla; Balaenopteridae. The record is from Ensembl.
GUGUUGAAUGAAAGGAGAGAAGGUUAGCACUCCCGUUGACCCAGGGACAAGGAUGGAAGAGGCCCUUGGACCUGACAACAUGCAUACGGUCAAAGCAUUGCCACCUACUUCGUGGCAUCUAACCAUUAUUUUUA